This 408-nucleotide ribosomal RNA is filed under the name uncultured bacterium. RNAcentral's name for it is "partial 16S ribosomal RNA". It matches the Rfam family "Bacterial small subunit ribosomal RNA", at positions 28 to 526 of the family's 1533-position model. The record is from RNAcentral.
GAUGAACGCUGGCGGCGUGCUUAACACAUGCAAGUCGAACGAAGUCGCGAACGGGUGACUAACGCGUAAUCAACCUGCCCUUCAGUGGGGGACAACAGUUGGAAACGACUGCUAAUACCUCAUACUGACGGAGGGGAUUGAGUCUGCUUAGCUAGCUGCAGGGGUAACGGCCCCACAAGGCGAUGGUCAGCAGCCGGGCUGGGAGGAUGAACGGCCACAUGUGGACUGGGGCACGGCCCAGACUCCUACGGGAGGCAGCAGGGGGGAAACUUCCGAAAUGGACGAAAGGCUUACGGAGCAACGCCGCGGGGGGUAUGACGGCCUUCGGGAUGUAAAGCUCUUUUAAUCGGGACGCGGUACCGAAAUAGAAAGUCACGGCUAACUACGUGCCAGCAGCCGCGGUAAUUC